GGCCUGGUAGCUUAACUGGAUAGAGCAUCUGACUUCGAAUCAGAGGGUUGAGGGUUCGAAUCCUUCCUGGGCCA
RNAcentral lists this transfer RNA (74 nucleotides) under Salipiger mucosus DSM 16094. It matches the Rfam family "tRNA". Rfam says of the family: Transfer RNA (tRNA) molecules are approximately 80 nucleotides in length. Their secondary structure includes four short double-helical elements and three loops (D, anti-codon, and T loops). The record is from Rfam by way of RNAcentral. Lineage: Bacteria; Pseudomonadati; Pseudomonadota; Alphaproteobacteria; Rhodobacterales; Roseobacteraceae.